CUCUGCAUUCAUUGUCCUAAUCCCGAAGAAAGAAAAUGCUCUACGCGCUGCUGAUUAUCGCCCAAUAAGUCUUUCCCACAGUGUUGCUAAGAUCUUGGGAAAACUCCUUGCCAAUAGACUGGCGCCAACUAUGCAGCAUCUAAUAUCUAUGAGCCAAAGUGCCUUCCUCAAAGGAAGAUCGAUCCAAGACAAUUUUCUGUAUGUUCAAAAUCUCGUCCAGAGUUUACAUAGAGCCAAGAAAGGGGCAAUCUUCCUGAAGCUGGAUAUUGC
This 270-nucleotide ribosomal RNA is filed under the name Triticum aestivum (bread wheat). Its description in RNAcentral is "partial small subunit ribosomal RNA". The record is from RNAcentral. Lineage: Eukaryota; Viridiplantae; Streptophyta; Magnoliopsida; Poales; Poaceae.